AUAAGGAGCUUGCUCCUUUGACGUUAGCGGCGGACGGGUGAGUAACACGUGGGUAACCUACCUAUAAGACUGGGAUAACUUCGGGAAACCGGAGCUAAUACCGGAUAACAUUUGGAACCGCAUGGUUCUAAAGUGAAAGAUGGUUUUGCUAUCACUUAUAGAUGGACCCGCGCCGUAUUAGCUAGUUGGUAAGGUAACGGCUUACCAAGGCGACGAUACGUAGCCGACCUGAGAGGGUGAUCGGCCACACUGGAACUGAGACACGGUCCAGACUCCUACGGGAGGCAGCAGUAGGGAAUCUUCCGCAAUGGGCGAAAGCCUGACGGAGCAACGCCGCGUGAGUGAUGAAGGGUUUCGGCUCGUAAAACUCUGUUAUUAGGGAAGAACAAACGUGUAAGUAACUGUGCACGUCUUGACGGUACCUAAUCAGAAAGCCACGGCUAACUACGUGCCAGCAGCCGCGGUAAUACGUAGGUGGCAAGCGUUAUCCGGAAUUAUUGGGCGUAAAGCGCGCGUAGGCGGUUUCUUAAGUCUGAUGUGAAAGCCCACGGCUCAACCGUGGAGGGUCAUUGGAAACUGGGAAACUUGAGUGCAGAAGAGGAAAGUGGAAUUCCAUGUGUAGCGGUGAAAUGCGCAGAGAUAUGGAGGAACACCAGUGGCGAAGGCGACUUUCUGGUCUGUAACUGACGCUGAUGUGCGAAAGCGUGGGGAUCAAACAGGAUUAGAUACCCUGGUAGUCCACGCCGUAAACGAUGAGUGCUAAGUGUUAGGGGUUUCCGCCCCUUAGUGCUGCAGCUAACGCAUUAAGCACUCCGCCUGGGGAGUACGACCGCAAGGUUGAAACUCAAAGGAAUUGACGGGGACCCGCACAAGCGGUGGAGCAUGUGGUU
Molecule: ribosomal RNA, 890 nt
Filed under: Staphylococcus saprophyticus
Lineage: Bacteria; Bacillati; Bacillota; Bacilli; Caryophanales; Staphylococcaceae
Description: bacterial SSU rRNA
Rfam family: Bacterial small subunit ribosomal RNA
Source: RNAcentral